This 329-nucleotide long non-coding RNA is filed under the name Salmo salar (Atlantic salmon). Its description in RNAcentral is "lncRNA (ENSSSAG00000104369.1)". Lineage: Eukaryota; Metazoa; Chordata; Actinopteri; Salmoniformes; Salmonidae. The record is from RNAcentral.
GCUGCUCCAUGGCCUCUUGGGUUGUGGAGUCAUUCUCUUCUGACCUGAUCACAAACAAAGACAAGAUUCAAACAAAUAAACAUGAUGGUCCAACAUAAUAGAGGGGGGGGGUUAUAGGGAAGAUAGGGGAGAGGAGUGGAGUAUAGGGAAGGUAAUCUGAUUCAUUAUGAUCUAGGAUCAGGUCCCCCUCUCCAUGUAAUCUGAUUCAUUAUUAUCUAGGAUCAGGUCCACCCUCUCCAUGUAAUCUGAUUCAUUAUGAUCUAGGAUCAGGUCCCCCCUCUCCAUGUAAUCUGAUUCAUUAUGAUCUAGGAUCAGGUCCCCCCCUCUCC